AGUGAAAAGUUGCGAUCGGGGCGGCGUUGUCCGCUUAUCAGAGAACCCGCCGCAGAUUGCUAAUUGAAAUGCAGGGGCUGUCGACGCAAUUCGCAGCAGAUCUCCGGUUGGAUCUCGAAUGGGAUCGUGAGAGCCCUGGUAACCCAAAUCGCGUGCUGCCUUUGAUUUGUAUGUGCACUCGUCAGAAAUUAUGUGGCAACUGGCGGCAAAACUGUGAGGCAGCGGUGCAAAUUGAACAGUAACAGAUGCAACCGCCAGUUACAUAUUUUGUGUCUGUGCACAUGGAUAUUUUUCGGAAAACUAUUUAAAUAAAGCACAAGUAUGCUGCAUGUCGGUAUGCUGGGC
Non-coding RNA from Drosophila melanogaster (fruit fly), 345 nucleotides. The record is from Ensembl. NCBI's taxonomy places the organism in Eukaryota, Metazoa, Arthropoda, Insecta, Diptera, Drosophilidae.